UAGGGAAUCUUCCGCAAUGGGCGAAAGCCUGACGGAGCAACGCCGCGUGAGUGAUGAAGGUCUUCGGAUCGUAAAACUCUGUUAUUAGGGAAGAACAAAUGUGUAAGUAACUAUGCACGUCUUGACGGUACCUAAUCAGAAAGCCACGGCUAACUACGUGCCAGCAGCCGCGGUAAUACGUAGGUGGCAAGCGUUAUCCGGAAGUAUUGGGCGUAAAGCGCGCGUAGGCGGUUUUUUAAGUCUGAUGUGAAAGCCCACGGCUCAACCGUGGAGGGUCAUUGGAAACUGGAAAACUUGAGUGCAGAAGAGGAAAGUGGAAUUCCAUGUGUAGCGGUGAAAUACACAGAAAUAUGGAGGAACACCAGUGGCGAAGGCGACUUUCUGGUCUGUAACUGACGCUGAUGUGCGAAAGCGUGGGGAUCAAGCAGG
This 429-nucleotide ribosomal RNA is filed under the name Actinomycetes bacterium. RNAcentral describes it as "Actinobacteria bacterium partial 16S ribosomal RNA". It matches the Rfam family "Bacterial small subunit ribosomal RNA", at positions 355 to 776 of the family's 1533-position model. The record is from RNAcentral. Lineage: Bacteria; Bacillati; Actinomycetota; Actinomycetes.